GGUAUGGAUUAAUCUUGUUUGGAUGUGUUGCGGCCAAUCGCCUCGUCGCUCGAUCGUCGGGAAGCGUGCACCUGCAAAAGGAAGUCCGCACUGACCGGAGGCGGCUCCGGCGGGGACCCUCCGACGGUCAAGUCAGAGAGGUGACUGGGCAACAGUGAAAUGCAGACAGAGAGCUCUGAGAAAGAGAGAGGGAGAGAGAGAGAGGAGCGAGCCUGCGUAUGCGGGAGAGACGGGCGGAUCGACCCUUUGCACUGUUGCCUUCCCCGGUUUAUAUAGUGGAGCACGGUAUGGCACCGUCAUUAAUGGCGCGGACAGGUGAGGAACUGUCAACUCACUGUAGACUGUCAGAGCCACCGUAAAAACGUCAUGUCGCCGUGUGGCCGUCCAAUC
This 390-nucleotide long non-coding RNA is filed under the name Elaeis guineensis (African oil palm). RNAcentral describes it as "long non-coding RNA (EGUI_LNC023696)". Lineage: Eukaryota; Viridiplantae; Streptophyta; Magnoliopsida; Arecales; Arecaceae. The record is from RNAcentral.